Molecule: long non-coding RNA, 2620 nt
Organism: Equus caballus (horse)
Lineage: Eukaryota; Metazoa; Chordata; Mammalia; Perissodactyla; Equidae
Source: Ensembl
CUUCUUCACUGCACUUACUGUCACUUGCAGUUUUAUGUCACAAAUUAUUUAUUUAUUCCACCCCUCCAACCCAGCACCCCCUAGAUGUGAGCUCCAUGAGCUCAGGGAGGGUCUGUCUGGUUCACUUGCCUAGAACAGUACCUGGCACAAACUCAACAAUUUUUUGUGGAAUGAACGAAUGAACAAAAGGAGUCAGGCAGUAGAGGAGGAAGUUUAUGUUUAUGGGGGAAAGUUUGGUGUGAAGACAAACUUAUCAAGGGCAAGCUAAAUAGAUCAUUCUAGGCGGAGGAGGGGAGUGAGAAGUAAUUUAGAAAUGAGAAGGGGCGGGGCCAUCAGGUACAGCCAUGCGGUCUGGCACAUGCGUUGGACGGUGAAUGGUGCCCCCUCCAGUUGUACAGUUCUCAACUUGGACAACAGUACGCGGCGCCCCUGGGGCUAGGGAAGAACACAACAGUUUUGGCCCCCUCAGCUGGGUCCUAGAGAGUGAGGGAGCCUGAGUGGAGGCAGCUCUACAGGUGCCUGCUGCAGGAGGAACAGGCUGUACCCUCCACGAGGACGCCACGUGGUCGCGGUCAGCAGUCUGCCAUCCGGUGGCGUUGUUUCCAUAGACAGCUCAACCAGGGGCAGCAACAGUGCUGCUGUUAACAAUCGCUGGUACCUGGAGCGCCCAGCGGGACACAGGUGGGGAAAUCACCCUGACACACCCCACAAACACACACCAAACGCUGUGGCCAAAGAUAAUCACAGCAGCGGAGGGAGGACUGUUUCCUGAGCCAGCAGUGUGCGCAGGAGGCAGAGGACACUGUGUUCUGAGACCUCUCCACCGAGCAGAGGACUCGGUGAGGAACUCGUCCCCCCCCCCCCCCCCCACCCCGCCCCCAGUCCCACAGUCUGGGCACAACAACAAUUACCCUGUGAUGUGGGGCCCGUCUCUGAUGAGUCACCUUGCCCACAGCAGGGCUUGUCGGGCAGUGUUAUCAGCUCCUCUGCUUACUUAAUUCCUUGGUUGACAUCACCACCGCCUCCGUCUUCUCCUUCUCUGCGCUGGAGCCUGCAGCCUGGUACAUCCUGCAAGGAAAGGCGGUGGAGGUCUCUCAUUGGCCAGAAGCUACCAGGGCAGGAAUCCAGCCACCACACUGUGAAGAAGCCCAAACUAGCCUGCCUGGAGAGACCAAUGGAAACACCCAUGUGGAGAGGAACUGAGGCCCCCAACCUACAGUCAGCACCCACCACGAGCUUUGUGAGUGAAUGAGCCUUCAGAUUAUUCCAAAGUCCAGCCUUGGGUGCCUCCAGCUAAGGCCCUAGACAUCACAGAGCAGAGGACAUAUGCCUUUGGACCUCUGAGUUGCCAGGAGAGAAGUCCAGCUAUUCUGAAGCUGCGUGUGGGAGAGUUCGUGUGCAGAGGCCACAGAGAGACAGAGAGGAACUCCAGCUGGUCCAGCCCUACUUGUUUGAGUCCUCCCAGCCCAGGUGCCACAUAUGUGAGUGAACAAGCCACAGUCACACUCUGACUACAACUUCAUGAGACUCCAAUCCAGAACUGCCCAGCUGAGUUCCCUGUUUCCUGACCCACAGAAACUGUGAAUGGAGAGGAAGUCAUAGAUCUGAAGCCUGAGGGGGAUUCCAUGUACCUUUGAGGACUUGAAGAUGGAAGAGACCAUAUGGAAGGGACCUGAGAGAGUGCAGCUUCUGGGAGCUGAGACAACCAACAAGGAAACAGCACCUCAGUCUGACAACCACAGGAGCAGACUUCUACAACCCAAAAGAGCUUGGGAGCAGAUCCUUUCUCAGAGCUUCUAGACAUGAGCCCAGCCAGCUCACACCUUGAUUUUGGCCUUGCAAGACCCAGGCAGAGAAUCCAGCUGAGCCCACCCGGACUUCUCACCUGCAGAACUGUGAGAUAAUAAACGGCUGUUGAUUUAAGCUGCCAACUUUGCGGGAGUCUGUUAUGCAGCAAUAGAAAGUGAAUACACUCCUUUCUCAUUUCAUCCCGAGAAGGUCUGUGAGGAGGGUCUGAGGACUCCCCCUUUGCAGACAGGGCAGGCUAAGCGAGGUGCUCAGUUUGCACGUGUCCAGGCUGGGGCUCAGGCCCGGGUCCAGCUGAUUUGAAGGCUCUUUGCACCAUGAAUGCUUCUCUGACCUGAACAGCCACAGAUGAACCUUGGGCACUUGGCCUAAGUCAAGGGUGUCUCGUCUUCCCAUUCAGGGGAAGCAGGGAGGGCUGCAUCUUACACCCCCUUUUAUAAGAACCACCCAGCAGCUCCUUCCACGCCACAGCCUGCAGUCUGCAAAGCUGUCCCAGGCCUGCAUGCCCAGCUGAAGAGCAGAGUUCUGGCAGGAAACAGGAGAAGGGCAGUGACCUCGUCCUCCUCCUUCUCAGAUGACACGUCUGGGCUCUGUCAAGGCAAGAGGCAGGAGCUGGGAUGCAAGGAGCAAUAAAGUUUGGCUGUGGCCUUCCCCACUCCCAGUAAAAAGCAUUCUCUGACUGGCUGGGAUGGGGAUUUUUUAAUUUUAUAUUUGCUCCCAUAAUAAUUUGUUGGACACAUAGUUGAAUACCCCCGGGAGUCCAGAAAUGUUUGCAAGGAGAAAGAUUAUGUUUCUGCUUUAUUGAUUAAAAAGC